RNAcentral lists this transfer RNA (72 nucleotides) under Trichoderma velutinum. RNAcentral's name for it is "tRNA-Thr". It matches the Rfam family "tRNA". Rfam says of the family: Transfer RNA (tRNA) molecules are approximately 80 nucleotides in length. Their secondary structure includes four short double-helical elements and three loops (D, anti-codon, and T loops). Further hydrogen bonds mediate the characteristic L-shaped molecular structure. tRNAs have two regions of fundamental functional importance: the anti-codon, which is responsible for specific mRNA codon recognition, and the 3' end, to which the tRNAs corresponding amino acid is attached (by aminoacyl-tRNA synthetases). tRNAs cope with the degeneracy of the genetic code in two manners: having more than one tRNA (with a specific anti-codon) for a particular amino acid; and 'wobble' base-pairing, i.e. permitting non-standard base-pairing at the 3rd anti-codon position. The record is from RNAcentral. RNAcentral also lists the same sequence under 1 other name. Lineage: Eukaryota; Fungi; Ascomycota; Sordariomycetes; Hypocreales; Hypocreaceae.
GCCCUUAUAGCUCAGGGGUAGAGCGCUGCACUCGUAAUGCAGAGGUCCUUAGUUCAAAUCUGAGUGGGGGCA